RNAcentral lists this ribosomal RNA (460 nucleotides) under uncultured bacterium. RNAcentral's name for it is "partial 16S ribosomal RNA". It matches the Rfam family "Bacterial small subunit ribosomal RNA", at positions 338 to 795 of the family's 1533-position model. The record is from RNAcentral.
CCUACGGGAGGCAGCAGUGAGGAAUAUUGGUCAAUGGACGAGAGUCUGAACCAGCCAAGCAGCGUGAAGGAUGACUGCCCUAUGGGUUGUAAACUUCUUUUAUAUGGGAAUAAAAUGUUCCACGUGUGGGAUUUUGUAUGUACCAUAUGAAUAAGGAUCGGCUAACUCCGGGCCAGCAGCCGCGGUAAUAUGGAGGAUCCGAGCGUUAUCCGGAUUUAUUGGGUUUAAAGGGAGCGUAGGUGGAUUGUUAAGUCAGUUGUGAAAGUUUGCGGCUCAACCGUAAAAUUGCAGUUGAAACUGGCAGUCUUGAGUACAGUAGAGGUGGGCGGAAUUCGUGGUGUAGCGGUGAAAUGCUUAGAUAUCACGAAGAACUCCGAUUGCGAAGGCAGUUCACUGGACUGCAACUGACACUGAGGCUCGAAAGUGUGGGUAUCAAACAGGAUUAGAUACCCCAGUAGUC